This 253-nucleotide ribosomal RNA is filed under the name uncultured bacterium. RNAcentral describes it as "partial 16S ribosomal RNA". It matches the Rfam family "Bacterial small subunit ribosomal RNA", at positions 524 to 776 of the family's 1533-position model. RNAcentral also lists the same sequence under 1 other name. The record is from RNAcentral.
UACAGAGGGUGCGAGCGUUGUCCGGAAUCACUGGGCGUAAAGGGCGCGUAGGUGGCGGGCCAAGUCCAUGGUGAAAGCUCGAUGCUCAACAUCGAGUCGGCCACGGAUACUGGUUCGCUUGAGCACUGUAGAGGCUAAUGGAAUUCCGGGUGUAGCGGUGGAAUGCGUAGAGAUCCGGAAGAACACCGGUGGCGAAGGCGGUUAGCUGGGCAGUUGCUGACACUGAGGCGCGACAGCGUGGGGAGCAAACAGG